GACGAACGCUGGCGGCGUGCCUAAUACAUGCAAGUAGAACGCUGAAGGAGGAGCUUGCUCUUCUGGAUGAGUUGCGAACGGGUGAGUAACACGUAGGUAACCUGCCUGGUAGCGGGGGAUAACUAUUGGAAACGAUAGCUAAUACCGCAUAACAGUAGAUGUUGCAUGACAUUUGCUUAAAAGGUGCAAUUGCAUCACUACCAGAUGGACCUGCGUUGUAUUAGCUAGUUGGUGGGGUAACGGCUCACCAAGGCGACGAUACAUAGCCGACCUGAGAGGGUGAUCGGCCACACUGGGACUGAGACACGGCCCAGACUCCUACGGGAGGCAGCAGUAGGGAAUCUUCGGCAAUAGACGGAAGUCUGACCGAGCAACGCCGCGUGAGUGAAGAAGGUUUUCGGAUCGUAAAGCUCUGUUGUAAGAGAAGAACGAGUGUGAGAGUGGAAAGUUCACACUGUGACGGUAUCUUACCAGAAAGGGACGGCUAACUACGUG
This 495-nucleotide ribosomal RNA is filed under the name uncultured bacterium. Its description in RNAcentral is "partial 16S ribosomal RNA". It matches the Rfam family "Bacterial small subunit ribosomal RNA", at positions 28 to 507 of the family's 1533-position model. The record is from RNAcentral.